RNAcentral lists this ribosomal RNA (604 nucleotides) under Trichosporon sp. JP70. RNAcentral's name for it is "eukaryotic LSU rRNA". It matches the Rfam family "Eukaryotic large subunit ribosomal RNA", at positions 62 to 654 of the family's 3401-position model. The record is from RNAcentral. Lineage: Eukaryota; Fungi; Basidiomycota; Tremellomycetes; Trichosporonales; Trichosporonaceae.
AAACUAACAAGGAUUCCCCUAGUAACGGCGAGUGAAGCGGGAAGAGCUCAAAUUUGAAAUCUGGCAGUCUUCGAUUGUCCGAGUUGUAAUCUAUAGAGGCGUUUUCCGUGCCGGACCGUGUCCAAGUCUCCUGGAAAGGAGUAUCAAAGAGGGUGAUAAUCCCGUACUUAACACGACCACCGGUGCUCUGUGAUACGUCUUCUACGAGUCGAGUUGUUUGGGAAUGCAGCUCAAAAUGGGUGGUGAAUUCCAUCUAAAGCUAAAUAUUGGCGAGAGACCGAUAGCGAACAAGUACCGUGAGGGAAAGAUGAAAAGCACUUUGGAAAGAGAGUUAAACAGUACGUGAAAUUGUUGAAAGGGAAACGAUUGAAGUCAGUCGUGUUCUUUGGAUUCAGCCAGUUCUGCUGGUCUACUUCCUUGGAACGGGUCAACAUCAGUUUUGUCCGGUGGAUAAAGGUAGUAGGAAUGUGACUUCUCCGGAAGUGUUAUAGCCUAUUAUCACAUACACUGGGUGAGACUGAGGACUGCAGCUCGCCUUUACCGCCCCCCUUGAAGAAACGUUCGAGCUUAGGAUGUUGACAUAAUGGCUUUAAACGACCCAUCU